This 464-nucleotide ribosomal RNA is filed under the name uncultured bacterium. RNAcentral's name for it is "partial 16S ribosomal RNA". It matches the Rfam family "Bacterial small subunit ribosomal RNA", at positions 28 to 507 of the family's 1533-position model. The record is from RNAcentral.
GACGAACGCUGGCGGCGUGCUUAACACAUGCAAGUCGUACGGUAAGGCCCUUUCGGGGGUACACGAGUGGCGAACGGGUGAGUAACACGUGAGUAACCUGCCCACAACUUUGGGAUAACGCUAGGAAACUGGUGCUAAUACUGGAUAUGUGCUCCUGCUGCAUGGUGGGGGUUGGAAAGCUCCGGCGGUUGUGGAUGGACUCGCGGCCUAUCAGCUUGUUGGUGGGGUAGUGGCCUACCAAGGCGGCGACGGGUAGCCGGCCUGAGAGGGUGACCGGCCAAAUUGGGACUGAGAUACGGCCCAGACUCCUACGGGAGGCAGGAGGGGGGAAGAUUGCACAAUGGGCGCAAGCCUGAUGCAGAAACGCCGGGGGGGGGAUGACGGCCUUCGGGUUGUAAACCGCUUUCAGCGGGGACGAAGCUUUUGGGGAGGGAACCGGCAAAAAAAGAACGGCUAAACUAGGG